RNAcentral lists this long non-coding RNA (377 nucleotides) under Prunus dulcis (almond). RNAcentral's name for it is "sRNA ncRNA". Lineage: Eukaryota; Viridiplantae; Streptophyta; Magnoliopsida; Rosales; Rosaceae. The record is from RNAcentral.
GAUAAUAACUUUUGUGGAACAGGGACCUUGUAAGAGUACUGGAAACUUGCAGUGCCGGAAGAGUGUGAUUCGAAGUGUGCUCAAGUCAGCAGUUGAGAGAGCUUCAGUAUCCCAAGUGUGGUAUCUUGUGCUGCAGUGUCGAGCAAUGUUCCUCCGUUCUGAUUUCGUGUUUUUUAAUUUAUUUUUUGUUUUGUUUUGUUUUGUUUCCUAUUCCGAACCAGAUUGGAACAGACUUAGAGUGCUCUUGUACUUGUAAUCUUCUGAUUCAAUUAGUGAAAAAUCCUAGCAACCUCGUGGACGUAGCUCAAUUAUGAGUGAACCACGUAAAAUUGUGGUGUUGGAUUUGUGUGUGAAUGUUUGUUUCUUCUUUUGAUUCU